RNAcentral lists this ribosomal RNA (484 nucleotides) under uncultured bacterium. RNAcentral's name for it is "partial 16S ribosomal RNA". It matches the Rfam family "Bacterial small subunit ribosomal RNA", at positions 30 to 509 of the family's 1533-position model. The record is from RNAcentral.
AUUGAACGCUGGCGGCAGGCCUAACACAUGCAAGUCGAGCGGAUGAAGGGAGCUUGCUCCUGGAUUCAGCGGCGGACGGGUGAGUAAUGCCUAGGAAUCUGCCUGGUAGUGGGGGAUAACGUCCGGAAACGGGCGCUAAUACCGCAUACGUCCUGAGGGAGAAAGUGGGGGAUCUUCGGACCUCACGCUAUCAGAUGAGCCUAGGUCGGAUUAGCUAGUUGGUGGGGUAAAGGCCUACCAAGGCGACGAUCCGUAACUGGUCUGAGAGGAUGAUCAGCCACAGGGGAACGGAGCCGCGGCCCGGUCCCCGAGGGAGGGCAGAAGGGGGGAAUUUGGGAAAAGGGGGAAAACCUGACACAACCCUGGCGGGUGGUGGAAAGAGGUUUUCGGAAUGUAAAAACAUUUAAUGUUGGGGGAAGGGAUAAAAAUUAAAUCAUUUCUUUUUUUGACGUAACAAAAAAAAAAAACCCGGCCAAUUUUGGCC